Molecule: long non-coding RNA, 560 nt
Organism: Eptesicus fuscus (big brown bat)
Lineage: Eukaryota; Metazoa; Chordata; Mammalia; Chiroptera; Vespertilionidae
Exons: 4
Source: RefSeq, a predicted model, not a curated record
CCCUUUUGAAACCGGAGACGUGGGUCUGCAGGGGAGAAGGUGAUGAAAGAAGGACAGCACCUGGUGGGAGAGAAUGGCAGAAGAACUGCAGCCAUGGGUCCUCCCUCUGUGUCAGGGUGCCACAUAUGGAGACAUUGGCCCAAAGAUGGAGAAGAUGAGGUUUCUAUCCUUGAGAAGUACAGUAUGGGAGACAGACAGAUAAGUGGAUAAUUAUUUUACAGGUUGACAGUGAGAAUCGGGAGGUCUGCUUGGAGGUCUGCUUGCGUCCAUGCGGUACUCUCUGCCCCCAGUCUGGGGACUUACCCCUAGGCGCAGAUAAAGAACCGAGUCCUCCUCCUUCUGUAGCCUAGGCAACAGGCCUUCAGCACGAACUGCAACUGGUGUGGAAAGCCCACGGAAAUACCCGGAAGUUUAGCAUGUAACCUAGAAAAAAGUCUAGAAUGUGUAUGUAUGCCAUAUAUAUGGGAGACAAAGAACCUAGGGAUGUAUAUAAGGCAAAACCCCACUACGUUUGGCGCUCAGCCUCUGGAGAGGACUCUGCUGGGCCAGCGCCGGUGCGA